GAAACAGUUGCUAAGACUGGAUAGGAAAAGUAAAGGCAUCUUUACUUUUUUAAAAGACCUUCUUUGAAGGUAUGCUUGAGGAGGGGCUUGCGACACAUUAGUUAGUUGGCAGGGUAAAGGCCUACCAAGACUAUGAUGUGUAGCUGGACUGAGAGGUUGAACAGCCACAUUGGGACUGAGACACGGCCCAAACUCCUACGGGAGGCAGCAGUAGGGAAUUUUCGGCAAUGGAGGAAACUCUGACCGAGCAACGCCGCGUGAACGAUGAAGUACCUCGGUAUGUAAAGUUCUUUUAUUAAGGAAGAAAAAAGAGUGGAAAAACUCCCUUGACGGUACUUAAUGAAUAAGCCCCGGCUAAUUAUGUGCCAGCAGCCGCGGUAAUACAUAAGGGGCGAGCGUUAUCCGGAAUGAUUGGGCGUAAAGGGUGCGUAGGCGGUUUAAUAAGUCUAUAGUUUAAUUUCAGUGCUUAACGCUGUUGUGCUAUAGAAACUGUUUUACUAGAGUGAGAUAGAGGCAAGCGGAAUUCCAUGUGUAGCGGUAAAAUGCGUAAAUAUAUGGAGGAACACCAGAGGCGUAGGCGGCUUGCUGGGUCUUUACUGACGCUGAGGCACGAAAGCGUGGGGAGCAAACAGGAUUAGAUACCCUGGUAGUCCACGCCGUAAACGAUGAGUACUAAGUGUCGGAUAAAACCGGUACUGAAGUUAACACAUUAAGUACUCCGCCUGAGUAGUACGUACGCAAGUAUGAAACUUAAAGGAAUUGACGGGACUCCGCACAAGCGGUGGAUCAUGUUGUUUAAUUCGAAGAUACACGAAAAACUUUACCAGGUCUUGACAUUUUCUUGCGAAGUUAUAGAAAUAUAAUGGAGGUUAUCAGGAAAACAGGUGGUGCAUGGUUGUCGUCAGCUCGUGUCGUGAGAUGUUAGGUUAAGUCCUAAAACGAGCGCAACCCUUGUCGUUAAUUGCCAGCAUGUAAUGAUGGGGACUUUAACGAGACUGCCAAUGAAAAAUUGGAGGAAGGUGGGGAUUACGUCAAAUCAUCAUGCCCCUUAUGAUCUGGGCUACAAACGUGAUACAAUGGUUGAUACAAAGAGUAGCUGAAAUGCGAGUUUUUAGCCAAUCUCACAAAAUCAAUCUCAGUUCGGAUUGAAGUCUGCAACUCGACUUCAUGAAGUCGGAAUCGCUAGUAAUCGCGAAUCAGCAUGUCGCGGUGAAUACGUUCUCGGGGUUUGUACACACCGCCCGUCA
This 1247-nucleotide ribosomal RNA is filed under the name Candidatus Phytoplasma luffae. RNAcentral describes it as "bacterial SSU rRNA". It matches the Rfam family "Bacterial small subunit ribosomal RNA", at positions 153 to 1399 of the family's 1533-position model. Lineage: Bacteria; Bacillati; Mycoplasmatota; Mollicutes; Acholeplasmatales; Acholeplasmataceae. The record is from RNAcentral.